RNAcentral lists this transfer RNA (64 nucleotides) under Phoronopsis harmeri. RNAcentral describes it as "tRNA-Gly". Lineage: Eukaryota; Metazoa; Phoronida; Phoronidae. The record is from RNAcentral.
UCUUCACUAGUAUAAAAUAGUAUCUCCGCCUUCCAAGUGGAUAGUCCGACUUCCGGGUGCAGAA